Molecule: long non-coding RNA, 253 nt
Filed under: Citrus sinensis (sweet orange)
Lineage: Eukaryota; Viridiplantae; Streptophyta; Magnoliopsida; Sapindales; Rutaceae
Description: long non-coding RNA (CSIN_LNC004443)
Source: RNAcentral
UAAGAACGAGCUUAAUUUGGGUCUCAGCGCUUGGGCAUCAUUCGGUUUUGGCCCGGCCUUGUUGGACCACUUCUCUUUCCAAAUAAGGUAAUGGGAGAAAAAGACACUAUCAAUUUCACACAUGACAAUUAUUAUUAAUUUUUUUUUCGGAAAAUGUAAAUUCGUUACCAUAUGAUGAUAUCAGAUUGUGUUAAGUAAAAUACAAUCAUGUAAUUGGGUUGUUGUAUAAGAAGAAUAUAUAAAUUCACAUGUA